This is a long non-coding RNA of Lytechinus variegatus (green sea urchin), 931 nucleotides long. RefSeq lists it as uncharacterized. The record is from RefSeq and is a predicted model, not a curated record. The transcript is spliced from 2 exons. Lineage: Eukaryota; Metazoa; Echinodermata; Echinoidea; Temnopleuroida; Toxopneustidae.
GUACAAAAUUAUUGACAAAUUAUAUUUAAAAUCAUACUACGAUAAUCCUCAAGUUUCCACUUCCGUCUACCUCUGGAAACAUUUACGUUUCUGCCUAAAGGGAAAAAACAAAACAGUGCUAUCUUAUGAUCUCCAAUUCUUUUUACUUUAAAAUAACUCCUUCAAGAUAUUACUUUCAAAUGUAUAUACCACCGUUACAUGGACAUCAUGUCUCAGUAACAGAGGUAUACUUUGAAGCAUUGCUAAGUUAAGGUCCAUUAAUGGCCAUUAAACACCAAAUUCCACUUCAUGCCUUAGAAUAUUUGCACAAGAUCAAUUGAUUAUACUAAAAAACAUUUUUCAUGUCAAAUUCUUUGCAAAUAAAAGCAAUUUAAAUUAGAGUUUAAACAAGGAAAAAUGUACAAAAUUAUUGAUAAAUUUAUAUUUAAAAUAAUACUAAGGUAAUCCUCAAGGUUCCACUUCCGUCUAUCUCUGGAAACAAAUGUUUCUGUCUAAAGGGGAAAAGAACAAAAGAGUGCUAGCUUAUGAUCUCCAAAUCUUUAUUACUUUAAAAUAUCUCCUUCACGAUAUUACUUUCAAAUGUACAUACCUCCGUUACAUGGACAUCAUGUCCUUGUAAUGAUCAUAUUGAAUAGUAUUACAUGUACUUGCCAUUCUUUUAGUAUCAACACACUAAUGCGAGUUAACUCAUCUUACUCAAGUGUAGAAAUACAACAUCUACAGGCAAGCUUCUAAAAUGCAUCAAUGAACAGGUUACAAGUUUAUGAACUUCAAGAUGAUCGGUGACCCAAUGACAACUGUGUGGAAGAGGACUCUGUCAAUGUCACAAAAUAGAUAGAGGUAGAAUUGUGCCUCGCCAUCAGGCCAGGAGUACAGGUCACCAGAUUGACACUUCAUGUACUGAAGAUAUACAUUUUUACCUUCAACAGAG